Dromiciops gliroides (monito del monte) is the source of this 136-nucleotide small nucleolar RNA. Lineage: Eukaryota; Metazoa; Chordata; Mammalia; Microbiotheria; Microbiotheriidae. The record is from RefSeq and is a predicted model, not a curated record.
CUGUCCACCCUAAUUCCUGCCGGUCCGGCCGUACCUGCCAGGUUUCGCUGGUGGACCAGAGCAUCUCAGAAACCCGCUUUGGCAGCUGCGGGGCGCCUGCCGUGGGCUCGCAGCCAGCCGGGGUCUCGAAACACAU